RNAcentral lists this non-coding RNA (76 nucleotides) under Metabacillus indicus. RNAcentral describes it as "Bacillus cibi Glycine sequence". It matches the Rfam family "Glycine riboswitch aptamer". From Rfam's summary of the family: This family represents the bacterial glycine riboswitch. Glycine riboswitches usually consist of two metabolite-binding aptamers domains with similar structures in tandem. The aptamers cooperatively bind glycine to regulate the expression of downstream genes. The record is from Rfam by way of RNAcentral. Lineage: Bacteria; Bacillati; Bacillota; Bacilli; Caryophanales; Bacillaceae.
GGAGCAGCUUCUGGAGAGACCGCUUUAGCGGCGCCGAAGGGUUCACAAUCUCAGGCAAAAGGACAGAAGAGUAUAG